RNAcentral lists this ribosomal RNA (253 nucleotides) under uncultured bacterium. RNAcentral describes it as "partial 16S ribosomal RNA". It matches the Rfam family "Bacterial small subunit ribosomal RNA", at positions 524 to 776 of the family's 1533-position model. The record is from RNAcentral.
UACGUAGGUGACCAGCGUUGUCCGGAUUUACUGGGCGUAAAGAGCGCGCAGGCGGUCGAUCAAGUCGCGUGUGAAAGCCCCCGGCUCAACUGGGGAGGGUCACGCGAUACUGAUCGACUCGAAGGCAGGAGAGGGUAGUGGAAUUCCCGGUGUAGUGGUGAAAUGCGUAGAUAUCGGGAGGAACACCAGUGGCGAAGGCGACUACCUGGCCUGUUCUUGACGCUGAGGCGCGAAAGCUAGGGGAGCAAACGGG